UGAGGAAUAUUGGUCAAUGGGCGGGAGCCUGAACCAGCCAAGUAGCGUGCAGGAAGACGGCCCUAUGGGUUGUAAACUGCUUUUAUGCGGGGAUAAAGGAGUCCACGUGUGGGCUUUUGCAGGUACCGCAUGAAUAAGGACCGGCUAAUUCCGUGCCAGCAGCCGCGGUAAUACGGAAGGUCCGGGCGUUAUCCGGAUUUAUUGGGUUUAAAGGGAGCGUAGGCCGCGUUUUAAGCGUGUUGUGAAAUGUAGGCGCCCAACGUCUGCAUCGCAGCGCGAACUGGAACGCUUGAGUACGCGCAACGUUGGCGGAAUUCGUCGUGUAGCGGUGAAAUGCUUAGAUAUGACGAAGAACUCCGAUUGCGAAGGCAGCUGACGGGAGCGGCACUGACGCUUAAGCUCGAAGGUGCGGGUAUCAAACAGGAUUAGAUACCCUGGUAGUCCGCACGGUAAACGAUGGAUGCUCGCUGUGUGCCUUUUGUGGUACGCGGCUAAGCGAAAGCGUUAAGCAUCCCACCUGGGGAGUACGCCGGCAACGGUGAAACUCAAAGGAAUUGACGGGGGCCCGCACAAGCGGAGGAACAUGUGGUUUAAUUCGAUGAUACGCGAGGAACCUUACCCGGGCUUGAACUGCCGGCGAACGAUCCAGAGAUGGUGAGGCCCCUCGGGGCGCCGGUGGAGGUGCUGCAUGGUUGUCGUCAGCUCGUGCCGUGAGGUGUCGGCUUAAGUGCCAUAACGAGCGCAACCCCUCUCCGUAGUUGCCAUCAGGUAGUGCUGGGCACUCUGCGGACACUGCCACCGCAAGGUGCGAGGAAGGUGGGGAUGACGUCAAAUCAGCACGGCCCUUACGUCCGGGGCUACACACGUGUUACAAUGGGGGGCACAGCGAGUCGGCCGCGC
This 900-nucleotide ribosomal RNA is filed under the name uncultured bacterium. RNAcentral describes it as "bacterial SSU rRNA". It matches the Rfam family "Bacterial small subunit ribosomal RNA", at positions 355 to 1256 of the family's 1533-position model. The record is from RNAcentral.